UAGGGAAUCUUCGGCAAUGGGGGCAACCCUGACCGAGCAACGCCGCGUGAGUGAAGAAGGUUUUCGGAUCGUAAAGCUCUGUUGUAAGUCAAGAACGGGUGUGAGAGUGGAAAGUUCACACUGUGACGGUAGCUUACCAGAAAGGGACGGCUAACUACGUGCCAGCAGCCGCGGUAAUACGUAGGUCCCGAGCGUUGUCCGGAUUUAUUGGGCGUAAAGCGAGCGCAGGCGGUUUGAUAAGUCUGAAGUUAAAGGCUGUGGCUCAACCAUAGUUCGCUUUGGAAACCUGUCAAACUUGAGUGCAGAAGGGGAGAGUGGAAUUCCAUGUGUAGCGGUGAAAUGCGUAGAUAUAUGGAGGAACACCGGUGGCGAAAGCGGCUCUCUGGUCUGUAACUGACGCUGAGGCUCGAAAGCGUGGGGAGCGAACAGGAUUAGAUACCCUGGUAGUCCACGCCGUAAACGAUGAGUGCUAGGUGUUGGAUCCUU
RNAcentral lists this ribosomal RNA (486 nucleotides) under uncultured bacterium. RNAcentral describes it as "partial 16S ribosomal RNA". It matches the Rfam family "Bacterial small subunit ribosomal RNA", at positions 355 to 832 of the family's 1533-position model. The record is from RNAcentral.